ACCCCAAGUUUGAUUUUUUUGGGGUUCCCUCACCCGCAGAGUGGCGCGAGGCCCAGGCCACGCACGAGGCCGAGCAGCGCCAGUGGCGCCUCCGGAACCACCUCAACCUCGCCGCCAAAGGUCCUCUCCGCCAAACUUUCGCUCAAAACCCCCUGAACCCCCCCAAAAUGGCGCCCUCAGAACCCCCAAAAAGGCCCUGGAAGGACACGCUGGGCUGAGGGGGGGAGGGGGUGACCCCCAAAAAAUAAAAAAAGCGCGAAAAUAAAACCCAGACUCAUUUAUUUUGGGGAAAAUUUGGGUGGGUUUGGGGUUUUUUGGCCGCUUGGGGAUGCCGUAGCAAGAUGGCGGCGCUGUGGUGAUUCCGUACAAAAUGGCGGCGCGGUGUGAGGAGAAAGGCGACUCACAAAAUGGCAGCCGCGCAUGCGCAGUAAUAAAGGAACGCGCCGUACAAUAUGGCCGCCGCGUAGAAAACGCCACCGACGCAUGCGCAGUAUUAAAAAAAAGAAACUUACUGUACAACAACGCGGCCGCGAGGUUUGCUGUAGAAAAUGGCGGCGUGCUCGGGUUUUGCCGUACAAAAUGGCGGCCGCGCAUGCGCAUUAAUAAAGGAACGCGCCGUACAAUAUGGCGGCCGCGUAGAAAAUGCCGCUUACGCAUGCGCAAUAAAAAAGGAACGCGCCGUACAAUACGGCGGCUGCAUGGUUUGUUGUAUAAAGAGCCACCUGCGCAUGCGCAGUAAUAAAGUAACUUACUGUACAACAAGGCAGCCGCGAGGUUUGCUGUAGAAAAUGGCGGCGUGCGCGGGUUGUGCCGUACAAAAUGGCGCCCGCGCAUGCGCAUUAUUAAAGGAACGCGCCGUACAAUAUGCCGGCUGCAUGGUUUGCUGUAGAAAGAGCAACCUGCGCAUGCGCAGUAAUAAAGAAACAUACUAUACAAGGCGGCUGCGAGGU
This 950-nucleotide long non-coding RNA is filed under the name Junco hyemalis (dark-eyed junco). RNAcentral describes it as "lncRNA (ENSJHYG00000008660.1)". The record is from RNAcentral. Lineage: Eukaryota; Metazoa; Chordata; Aves; Passeriformes; Passerellidae.